ACACUCCUACGGGAGGCAGCAGUGGGGAAUAUUGGACAAUGGGCGCAAGCCUGAUCCAGCCAUGCCGCGUGAGUGAUGAAGGCCCUAGGGUUGUAAAGCUCUUUCACCGGUGAAGAUAAUGACGGUAACCGGAGAAGAAGCCCCGGCUAACUUCGUGCCAGCAGCCGCGGUAAUACGAAGGGGGCUAGCGUUGUUCGGAUUUACUGGGCGUAAAGCGCACGUAGGCGGACUAUUAAGUCAGGGGUGAAACCCCGGGGCUCAACCCCGGAACUGCCUUUGAUACUGGUAGUCUUGAGUUCGAGAGAGGUGAGUGGAAUUCCGAGUGUAGAGGUGAAAUUCGUAGAUAUUCGGAGGAACACCAGUGGCGAAGGCGGCUCACUGGCUCGAUACUGACGCUGAGGUGCGAAAGCGUGGGGAGCAAACAGGAUUAGAAACCCGAGUAGUCCC
RNAcentral lists this ribosomal RNA (447 nucleotides) under uncultured organism. Its description in RNAcentral is "partial 16S ribosomal RNA". It matches the Rfam family "Bacterial small subunit ribosomal RNA", at positions 333 to 797 of the family's 1533-position model. The record is from RNAcentral.